UCGGCGUGGAAACCGCGAGAGCGAGGUAGAGCAUUACUGCUUGCCGCGCUUGUGUCACGUUUCCCAGUAGUUUCUCUAACGUGCUACUGCAUCGUUGCAUCCUCAUAUCGAUGAGGAGGGUGCGCCACCCAGUAUUCCUGGGCUGGGACCAAAAUGCAAGCCACUGAAACAGUCCUCGAAUUAUGAGGGCAAGGAUUUUCUAUGGUUGUUGGAAUGGCAUCUGAAGCCCCACUGACUGGAAUCCAAUCCUGUCUUCACCGCGUCCUUUGGGAGACGGUUGAUCAGCCUGCUGACAGUGGAAAAAAUGAGUCCAAAGCCUCCUUGUCGAGAGGUUUUCCUUUCUGUGUGAAGGAAGGAAAAUGAAAACAGCACGUUCUCACAGCAGUGGCGGUUGCGGACGUUUCAGGAUGACAGCUGGAGAGGCAAGGUCACCAUGUACUGUUGGGACCCAAAGGAGAUGAACCCCUGAGGAACUAAUGACCCCCAGAACCGUGUGAAGUACCCACAGUUAGUGCCUUGUGCUCUCUGCUUCUGUGAGUCAUCUUCUUGCUUUUAGUUCGUGUGUUCCUGGGAGAUAAAGAUCUUAAGCAUCAUACCUUGCAGUCCAGAGAUUUCAUCUAUUGGAAAAGACAUCUACAGAAAGACUCUCUUCAGCCCUGUUGGAAAGGCCCCUAUCAGGUACUGUUAACUAACCCUUGUGCAGCCAAACUUCAAGGAAUGACUCUUGGAUCCAUAUGUCACAUCUUUUUUUUUUUAAGAUUUAAUUUUUUAAUCUCUCCACCCAGCGUGGGGCUCGAACUCACAACCCCAAGAUCAAGAGUUGCACACUCCUCCGACUGAGCCAGCCAGGUAUUCCCCCCAUGUGUCACCUCUACAGAAAGCACCAAACCCUGAUUAGAUCUGCACACCAACUGAGUACCUGGAAAUAAAGAUUUCUAGGAAUUGAAGCAGACGACAGCUGAAGGAGACAGAUUUCCCAAGAUGACUGGACCAGACCUGUAUACCUUUUUCUUGCUGUUACUUCUUACCUUAUUUCAUCCCUUUCUUUCAUGGUCUAAUCUAUUGCAAAAGGGGAACCUUUCUGACCGUUGGAUCUGACACCAGAAACAGAUUUGUUCUUCCCUAUUUAUUAUUUGUUCCCCUGCAUCCAAGGGAAAUACAAAUGAGCUAAAUCCUCUUUGAAAGGCUUUUUUAAAAAAAAUAUUUUUAUUUAUUUGAGAGAGAGUGUGUGCAAAAGUGAGCGAGCAGGGAGGGGCAGAGGGGGAGGGAAAAAGAAUCUGAAGCAGACUCCACACUGAGUGUGGAGCCCGACUUGGGGCUCGAUCCCAUGACAGCAAGAUCAUGACCUGAGCCAAAACCAAGAGUCUGACACUCAACUGACUGAGCCACACAGGUGCCCCUGCAAGGCUUUUAGAAAAGACCCCUUUAGCCUUGCAGAAGUUCUGCUCAUCUUAUUCUGUAUGGUCACUUUUUAAAAGAUUGUAUUUUUAAGUAAUCUCUACACCCAAUAUGGGGUUCGAACUUACAAUGCUGAGAUCAGGAGUUGCAAGCUCUACUGACUGAGCCAGCCAGGUACCUCCUCUGUAUAAUUAUUUUUUUUAAGUAGGCUCCAUGCCUAGCAUGGAGCCCAAGACGGGGCUUGAACUCAUGACCCUGAGAUCAAGACCUGAGCUGAGAGCAAGAGUCGGACGCUUAACUGACUGAGCCACCCAGGUGCCCCUUUAUAAUCAUUUUUAAGCUUUAUACCUGUUGCCUCUCAAACCUUCAUAGAAACAACGUGCCUGAUAGGGUGAUGCUAGCUCAGCACCUCGAGAUGAUCUUCAACAUUUAUCUCAGAUGGGAAAUGCCUGACCGUUCUCCCUCCUACCAUUCCCUGUUACUCAAAUGUGACCUCAGCGGUUUCCAGUCUACGCACUUUCCUCUGAUGUGGGACAUGACAACCAGGAAAGGUCCUUUCUGACACCAAGGGCACGAAACCACUAAAUAUGAAAACAACAACAACAACAACAACCCAACACAACCCUGACUUUUGAUUAGCAAUUCUUUUGAAAAAAGACUUUGAUCGAAAGGGGGAGAUGUGAAAAUAAAGGGAACCUCAUUUAAAAUGGGGUCAGGAAGCCCUGAAGGGGGAGCUCUCGUGCAUUACCACCUGCUGUAAGAAGCAUAUCUCACAAUUCCCAGUAGGAAGCAGCUUGCUUUCCCCACCCCAGCCUGAGGAAGGAAGAAUUUCUCCUUGCCCAGCAACAGCCCAGCCAGUGAGAACUCAAUGAAACAGCCCCUCCCAGCUUCCUCUUCUCCCCAGUGAAAGCAAGCCCCUCUGUUCUCUGGGUUUACCUGUGGUUUGCCAUAGUCUACUUGUCCUGAAUUGCAAUUCCUCUGCUCUUCCUGAAUAAAAUCAUUUUGCUGGUAAAAUAACUGGCUCUUUUGUUUUUUAAGGUCAACAGAAGCAGAAACCACCUGAGGUUUCUGGGAACAGACUGACAGGGUCUGAAAAAUGAGGUUUGCUGGGAAGGGAGGUGGUGU
Molecule: long non-coding RNA, 2523 nt
Organism: Mirounga angustirostris (Northern elephant seal)
Lineage: Eukaryota; Metazoa; Chordata; Mammalia; Carnivora; Phocidae
Exons: 4
Source: RefSeq, a predicted model, not a curated record